UGAAUCCGCGCGGGAGAGUCCUCAGCAGCAGUUCCGCUGGGGCGCCGAAGGAGCAAGUCCCUCCCUUGAAUCUCUCAGGCCCCGUUACCGCGCGGGCGAG
This 100-nucleotide non-coding RNA is filed under the name Streptomyces sp. RNAcentral's name for it is "Glycine sequence". It matches the Rfam family "Glycine riboswitch aptamer". Rfam says of the family: This family represents the bacterial glycine riboswitch. RNAcentral also lists the same sequence under 1 other name. Lineage: Bacteria; Bacillati; Actinomycetota; Actinomycetes; Kitasatosporales; Streptomycetaceae. The record is from RNAcentral.